RNAcentral lists this ribosomal RNA (165 nucleotides) under uncultured bacterium. Its description in RNAcentral is "partial 16S rRNA". It matches the Rfam family "Bacterial small subunit ribosomal RNA", at positions 355 to 511 of the family's 1533-position model. The record is from RNAcentral.
UGGGGAAUAUUGGACAAUGGGCGAAAGCCUGAUCCAGCCAUGCCGCGUGUGUGAAGAAGGCCUUUUGGUUGUAAAGCACUUUAAGCGAGGAGGAGGCUACCGAGAUUAAUACCCUUGGAUAGUGGACGUUACUCGCAGAAUAAGCACCGGCUAACUCUGUGCCAA